This 917-nucleotide long non-coding RNA is filed under the name Meleagris gallopavo (turkey). Its description in RNAcentral is "lncRNA (ENSMGAG00000018220.1)". The record is from RNAcentral. Lineage: Eukaryota; Metazoa; Chordata; Aves; Galliformes; Phasianidae.
CACCCAGCCAUGGAAAUGGCUGGCAGAGCAGCAACCCGCCUGUGUCUUCAUCUGGACAAGGCACCAACUGAAGCUUGAGGAAAGCCCAUGCCACACUCUGCACUGCACUGUGGUCCUACAAGAUCUCGGGAUCUGCACUGCAUGGACAGAGGAAGCUCCACAACACCUCUCAGCUACGGUCCCCACCAUGGACUUGCACACAUCAUCUCAAGGAACCAUAUGGACAUGUCUACAAUUGACCCUUGAAGAUAAGGAACAAACAAGAAGAUAAAAAAGGAUGAAUGGGCCCACUUGAAAAAUACCAGAGACACCACAUGCAGAAGAGUAGGCAAGCACCAUAAGUGAGCAUGCUCCUGUGAUCGGGGAUGAAAGACUGUCAGCCUUCCUUCCUUGACCUCCAGACAACCACUGAGAAGCUAUCACAAAAUUAAAGACAAAUUAAAAACCUUCAAAAUAAACUUUCUGUUUCAUUAAACCCAUGGUGCUUCUUUCACCUUCUGACAUCUAUACCACAAACAUUUUUGGAGGUGGUUUCCUUAUUGUCAUCAUCUCUUGGUAUUAAUGCAUCUGUAUAUGACAGGAUCACAGAAUGGUUUGGGUUGGAAGAGACCUUGGAGAUCACCUAGUUCCUUUAGGAAGUGAAACCUCCCACUAGAUAUCAGGUUGCUCACAGCCCCAUCAAGCAUGGCCUGGAAUGCUUCCAUGGAGGGGCAUCCAUAACCUUGUCGGGCAAUCUGUGCCAGUGUGUCACCUCCCACACAGUAAAUAAUUUCUUUGUAAUGUCUAGUCUAAAUCUACCCUCUUACAGUUUAAAAUAAUUUCCCCUCAUCCCGUAGCUACAUGCCUACAUAAAAAGUCCCUCCCCAGCUUUCCUGCAUUUUGGUCACAACCCAGGCAAACCUACAGGCAUGGGGAGG